This 107-nucleotide small nuclear RNA is filed under the name Chinchilla lanigera (long-tailed chinchilla). The record is from RNAcentral. Lineage: Eukaryota; Metazoa; Chordata; Mammalia; Rodentia; Chinchillidae.
AUGCUCCCUUCUGCAGCACAUAUACUAAAAUUGGAAUGAUAGAGAGAAGAUUAGCAUGGCCCCUGCGCAAAGAUGACACGCAAAUUCGUGAAGUGUUCCAUAUUUUU